AGAAAUGUAAGAAAUUAGAAAGAUCUGAUGUGGAGAAUACCACAUCUCUUCUUACAAUCUUUUCACAGAAUGCCACAUGCUAACACAAAACCUAAUAAUAUUAAACUAUGUAUAAAAAAAAAAUGAUGCACCAUUCGUUGUAAUUUGACUUAACAUGUCUUUAUUCACUAAUUAACCAAAAAAGUCAAAAGUUAAGUAUGAAAACAUGGUCUAAUCUG
This 218-nucleotide long non-coding RNA is filed under the name Vigna radiata. RNAcentral describes it as "long non-coding RNA (VRAD_LNC004170)". Lineage: Eukaryota; Viridiplantae; Streptophyta; Magnoliopsida; Fabales; Fabaceae. The record is from RNAcentral.